Molecule: ribosomal RNA, 1347 nt
Filed under: uncultured bacterium
Lineage: Bacteria
Description: bacterial SSU rRNA
Rfam family: Bacterial small subunit ribosomal RNA
Source: RNAcentral
GACGAACGCUGGCUGCGUGCUUAACACAUGCAAGUCGAACGCUGAAGCCUGGUGCUUGCACCGGGUGGAUGAGUGGCGAACGGGUGAGUAACACGUGAGUAACCUGCCCCUGACUUCGGGAUAAGCCCGGGAAACUGGGUCUAAUACCGGAUACGACUGCCGGACGCAUGUCUGGUGGUGGAAAGUUUUUUCGGUUGGGGAUGGGCUCGCGGCCUAUCAGUUUGUUGGUGAGGUAAUGGCUCACCAAGACGACGACGGGUAGCCGGCCUGAGAGGGCGACCGGCCACACUGGGACUGAGACACGGCCCAGACUCCUACGGGAGGCAGCAGUGGGGAAUAUUGCACAAUGGGGGAAACCCUGAUGCAGCGACGCAGCGUGCGGGAUGACGGCCUUCGGGUUGUAAACCGCUUUCAGCAGGGAAGAAGCGCAAGUGACGGUACCUGCAGAAGAAGUACCGGCUAACUACGUGCCAGCAGCCGCGGUAAUACGUAGGGUACGAGCGUUGUCCGGAAUUAUUGGGCGUAAAGAGCUCGUAGGUGGUUGGUCACGUCUGCUGUGGAAACGCAACGCUUAACGUUGCGCGUGCAGUGGGUACGGGCUGACUAGAGUGCAGUAGGGGAGUCUGGAAUUCCUGGUGUAGCGGUGGAAUGCGCAGAUAUCAGGAGGAACACCGGUGGCGAAGGCGGGACUCUGGGCUGUAACUGACACUGAGGAGCGAAAGCAUGGGGAGCGAACAGGAUUAGAUACCCUGGUAGUCCAUGCCGUAAACGUUGGGCACUAGGUGUGGGGGGCAUUCCACGUUCUCCGCGCCGUAGCUAACGCAUUAAGUGCCCCGCCUGGGGAGUACGGUCGCAAGGCUAAAACUCAAAGGAAUUGACGGGGGCCCGCACAAGCGGCGGAGCAUGCGGAUUAAUUCGAUGCAACGCGAAGAACCUUACCAAGGCUUGACAUACACCGGACCGUCCUGGAAACAGGUCUUCUUCUUUGAAGCUGGUGUACAGGUGGUGCAUGGUUGUCGUCAGCUCGUGUCGUGAGAUGUUGGGUUAAGUCCCGCAACGAGCGCAACCCUCGUUCUAUGUUGCCAGCACGUGAUGGUGGGAACUCAUAGGAGACUGCCGGGGUCAACUCGGAGGAAGGUGGGGAUGACGUCAAAUCAUCAUGCCCUUUAUGUCUUGGGCUUCACGCAUGCUACAAUGGCUGGUACAGAGAGAGGCGAACCCGUGAGGGCAAGCGAAUCCCUUAAAGCCAGUCUCAGUUCGGAUCGUAGUCUGCAAUUCGACUACGUGAAGUCGGAGUCGCUAGUAAUCGCAGAUCAGCAACGCUGCGGUGAAUACGUUCCCGGGCCU